GUUUUGAACCUUUGCAUUUAAACUUCAGGCCUCAUACCUGGCCCUACAGUCCCGCAGCUAAAUAUGGAAAACAAUGCCAGAAGCCCUCCCAACCUCGGGCUCUCUGGCCUUCCUUAAAUAACCCAGGAAACCCAGGCGCACGGGCAGAGUCAGAUGGCCACUGUUCCUGAGCCUUGUUUGUGGAGCAAAUGGAAAAGACUCAUUUCAUGUUUUAUGACAUUUCAGAAUCGAUUUACAACUGCCUACUCCUUCUGAGUCUGGAUUUUCCUUUGAAAUAAAAAACACUGUAAUAAAAAAUAAUAGGAACAUUGAAUUGGAAAAAUGGUAAUGGUACAAAAAUGGUAUGAAAAUAAAAUAAAAUCAUACCAUUGUUUUUCUUUAAGAUUCAUUCAAUAUUCACUUAAAAAAAAAAUUAGAAUGCAGGCAAGGUUCUAGGCCCUUGACCACAGCAGUAAACUGAGCAAGCAUCCUUGUUCUCAGGGAGCUGCUUUUCUAGUUGGGAAAAGACAAAGAAACAAAUAUAUCCAGUGUCGUGUGGUGAGAGAUGCAAUGCAGAAGAAUAACGCAGGUUUGGGGGUCGAGAGGGCUUCCCAGGUGGCACUCGUAAAGAACCCGCCUGCCAGUGCAAGAGACUAAGACAGCAGGUUCGAUCCCUGGGUCAGGAAGACCCCCUGGAGGAGGGUACAGCAACCCACUCCAGUAUUCACGCCUGGAGAAUCCCGUGGACAGAAGAGCCUGGUGGGCUACAGUCCACGGGGUCACAAAGAGGCACGACUGAAGCGGCUUAGCACAUAUGCAUGCAUGGGGGUAGAAAGCGGGGCAGGGUGUGGGGCAAGGUUCCUGCUUUUGGGUGGACCAGGUAAGACAUCUGAGCAGAGGAGUGCGGGAGUGAGGCGGGGCGGAGCCUGGGGUGGGGACAGGGCAGCAGGAGCAGAGAGAGCAGGGGCGGAGACGCAGGAGAUGGGUCAGAAGGCUGGCAGAGAAUGCCACGUCACACGGGCCCGCGUCGAUGUGGGGUCAGAUUCUGCUCAGAGCCCGGAGGCCACUGCAGGGUUUGGGGCGGAGCCGCCACCUGAUCACUCGGAAUCUGUAGGCGCAAACGGGCAGAGGCUGCGGGUGGGAGCAGAGGGGGUUCAUGAUGGGGGUGCAGCGAAGACCGCUGGCUGCAGGGGUGGCAGGGAGGCGGCGGGGGCUGUGCCCCGUCUUGCUUCUCUUGGUUGUCAACUGAAGAGCCGGCUGAGAGAUUUAAGAUUCUCCCACAAAGAUGACAAGCGGCAAGUCCAAGUUCCUGAGCCCCACCUCAGUCCAGGCGUGUCUUCGCUCAGUCCUGCUCGCCACUAG
RNAcentral lists this long non-coding RNA (1341 nucleotides) under Capra hircus (goat). Its description in RNAcentral is "lncRNA (ENSCHIG00010027518.1)". Lineage: Eukaryota; Metazoa; Chordata; Mammalia; Artiodactyla; Bovidae. The record is from RNAcentral.